Macrobrachium nipponense is the source of this 1088-nucleotide RNA transcript. It is a transcript of the gene named glutamic acid-rich protein-like, with no coding region annotated. The transcript is spliced from 3 exons. The record is from RefSeq and is a predicted model, not a curated record. Lineage: Eukaryota; Metazoa; Arthropoda; Malacostraca; Decapoda; Palaemonidae.
UUACUACUACUUCUACUACUACUACGACUAUCUUCAUGUCGAAUGUAAACUUGUGUUUAUUUCUGGUUGGUUUAUUGAUUAUAUGAAGAGAAAGAAAGGCGAAGGGAACAGGGAACCCCUGUCUACGGAAAGCAAGGUGCUGGAUAUCAAAGGAGUACAUGAAUUACUUGAAGUAGUAGAAGAAGAAGAAGAGGAGGAAGGAGAGGAAGCAGAAGAGGAAGAAGAAGAAGAAGAAGACGAAGAAGAGGAAGAAUUUGAUGAAGAAACUGAUUUUGAUGAGGAGGAAACUGAUUAUUUUGAUGAAGAAGACGACUAUUUUGACGAGGAGGAAAUAGAAGAAGAGGAAGAAGUGGAGAAGGAGGAAGAAGAAGAAGAAGAAGAAAAAGAACAGCCACAGGAACAAGCAUCAGUGUGAACUGGAAGCUCACCAACUGUGUUAGGGUAACUCUUCUCUUCCUGUAUAAACAUUACAAGAAGUUUUGGAAGCCUCUUAUAACCCCCAUUACUUUACUACAGUUUUUAAGCAAGGACAGUCUUCAGAGGUUGUUUUUGCAGACAAGUUUCACUGUAGAUGUUUCUUCUCAAAAGAUGAUAACUAAAAAUAUCUCAAGAACAAUAUUCAACUUUAUCAGUCAAGAACAACAAACUGUCAACCCAAGAAAUAUCUGGGUUUCUUCAAGAUCCUUCCUUCAAGAUAGGAGCAGCUUUAAAAAUGUACUUAAUUCAGCCCACCAUGUCACAAUUGCUACAUUUCUAUUCUGGGCCAUUGGCAGUCUUCAGAAGUAAUUUCAUCUUAAUGAUCUUGAGAUCAAAUGUCAUCUUGGCAGUUCACAUUCAUAUACCAGAAAAUUCUUAGGUAUGUCACAUUAAACAGGUAUGUAAUUAUUGUAGAGUUAGGGUUUUUAAGACCUAUUUUGUACUAUCUUGUUACUGUUUUUAUAGAAAUGCUUUUUUGAUUUUACAUACUUUCAUGUAGUAUGCCAGUGCACUUAAGUCUGUUCCACUAUUAGCAGUCUGUUGUUGUAGGCAGAGUUCAUUGCACCACUUUUUUCGAAAGUAAAUUUUUGUAUUAGAUUUGUACUGUCAUA